Molecule: ribosomal RNA, 301 nt
Filed under: uncultured bacterium
Lineage: Bacteria
Description: partial 16S ribosomal RNA
Rfam family: Bacterial small subunit ribosomal RNA
Source: RNAcentral
CAGUCGCCGCGGGAAUACGUAGGGUGCAAGCGUUAAUCGGAAUUACUGGGCGUAAAGCGUGCGCAGGCGGUUUUGUAAGACAGAGGUGAAAUCCCCGGGCUCAACCUGGGAACUGCCUUUGUGACUGCAAGGCUAGAGUACGGCAGAGGGGGAUGGAAUUCCGCGUGUAGCAGUGAAAUGCGUAGAUAUGCGGAGGAACACCGAUGGCGUAGGCAAUCCCCUGGGCCUGUACUGACGCUCAUGCACGAAAGCGUGGGGAGCAAACAGGAUUAGAUACCCCAGUAGUCCCUGUCUCUUAUAC